AUUGCCUCAGUAACGGCGAGUGAAGCGGCAAAAGCUCAGAUUUGAAAUCUGGCGUCAUUUUUCGGCGUCCGAGUUGUAAUCUGCAGAGGAGUAUUCGAGUGUGGCGCUGGCUUAAGUUCCUUGGAACAGGACGUCAUAGAGGGUGAGAACCCCGUUAACGGCCUCUGUCUUAUGCUCAUGUGAAUCUCCUUCGACGAGUCGAGUUGUUUGGGAAUGCAGCUCUAAAUGGGUGGUAAAUUCCAUCUAAAGCUAAAUACUGGCAAGAGACCGAUAGCGCACAAGUAGAGUGAUCGAAAGAUGAAAAGAACUCUGAACAGAGAGUUAAACAGUACGUGAAAUUGUUGAAAGGGAAGCACUUGCUACCAGACACGCCUGUUGUUGAUCAGCCUUCAUUUUUUAUGGUGCACUCGGCCGCAUGGUGGGUCAGCAUCGGUUGUUGCGGCGGGAUAAAGGCUCUUGGGAAUGUGGCUUCUCUCGGGAAGUGUUAUAGCCCUGGGCGUAAUACCGCCUGUCGCACUGAGGAAGCGCUU
Molecule: ribosomal RNA, 530 nt
Filed under: Peziza arvernensis
Lineage: Eukaryota; Fungi; Ascomycota; Pezizomycetes; Pezizales; Pezizaceae
Description: eukaryotic LSU rRNA
Rfam family: Eukaryotic large subunit ribosomal RNA
Source: RNAcentral